This 3002-nucleotide unclassified non-coding RNA is filed under the name Hermetia illucens (black soldier fly). RNAcentral describes it as "ras-related C3 botulinum toxin substrate 1, transcript variant X3". Lineage: Eukaryota; Metazoa; Arthropoda; Insecta; Diptera; Stratiomyidae. The record is from RNAcentral.
UUGACAUCGUUGUAGAAGGAACAUCGGACGGGGUCGUGAACUGUGCAGUGUUUUCGUCCGUGAAACUUUUCAAAAUCAGUGCUCCCAACUCAACUUGUUGUUAACAGUAAGAUAAAUGCAAACGUCCAGACUACCGGAAACUGCCUAGAAUUAAUUCGCCGAAAGAUCGCUUCGAGUUUUAACGAGCCUUGCACUCAGAGAAGAUGUCCUCAGGUCGCCCAAUCAAAUGUGUUGUUGUCGGAGAUGGAACAGUUGGUAAAACAUGUAUGUUGAUCUCAUAUACGACGGACAGUUUCCCAGGAGAAUAUGUUCCAACUGUUUUCGAUAACUAUUCAGCGCCAAUGGCAGUUGAUGGUAUACAAGUGUCGUUAGGACUAUGGGACACAGCCGGACAGGAAGAUUAUGAUCGAUUACGACCACUAUCGUAUCCACAAACUGAUGUGUUCUUAAUAUGCUUUAGUGUUGCAAGUCCGUCUUCCUUUGAAAAUGUCACAUCGAAAUGGUAUCCAGAGAUUAAACACCACUGCCCAGAUGCCCCGAUUAUCUUAGUGGGUACAAAAAUAGAUUUACGCGACGACAGAGAAACUUUGAGUGCUCUUGCUGAACAAGGAUUAUCGCCGCUAAAACGGGAACAAGGUCAAAAGCUGGCCAAUAAAAUUAGAGCAGUGAAGUACAUGGAAUGUUCGGCGUUAACACAACGUGGCUUGAAACAGGUUUUCGACGAGGCUGUUAGAGCUGUACUAAGGCCUGAACCGCAGAAACGUCGCCAAAGGAAAUGCGUAGUAAUGUAAAUAGCUAUUAAGGUUUUUACCCAGGAUAAUUUUAUUUUCUCAUUUAUUUUAUUGUUUUAUUUGUAAUAAUGUAAAAAGGAUAGUGAUGGAACUAAAUGCAAAUUACUUAAAAUUAUUGAUGCAUAAAUGACGAAUCUCCUUAAAAUAUUUAAUUUAGGCCUAUUAUAAUACUCAAAGUGUUUUAAAUUUAGCAAAGAUAAAAACGAAUAGCAAGAUAAAUAACUGACAAAGAUGACAAAUUAGAAUUUUCAAAUUUUAUACUAAACUCAGAGAAAAGAAGGGUAGUACCAUAGAAGUCAAUAAGCCAUACAUAGUUUUUAGGACUUCGUUUUGCAGACGGCUUGAUACACCAUAUAUGGAAAAGAUUGAAUUUGUUUUUGUCUAGUUUUCACCCUAAGAUAUACACCACUUCCCCUUAUGGAAUUUUUGGCAGCAAACCAUCCCCGAGUCCUCACAACGAAUGAAUUAUUUUAGUGACUAGCGGCAUUGUGAGGAAGGCAUCAAUAAGUGCUUUUUCUGUUUAAUGUGGCGAGCGCUGGAAGGAAUAUAAAGAGUAAGAGCAAUUACUUACUGGGAACUAAAGCGAUUUAUGUGAGAAUUACCAAAAAAAUGUAAAGACUGAGUUGUGCAGCCGUUUCAUCUCCCCAAGUAAAAUCAAUGCUUUCUAUAUUCCUAGAUUCUUAGGUUUGUAGUGUCCGCCUUAUGAUUGUUAUUCUUGAUGUUAACAUUUUUUAGAAAGACAAAUAGUUGCGAUACGAUAAGUAAACUUAGUUCUCAUCAAAUCGGUAGCUUCAAUCAAAUAAGACUGCUACUAUUACUACCAACAUUUCUACUAUACUGUGAACUCAGAAUUCGGUUUUGAUUUUACUUCUGAAAAGACUAAACUCUGAAAAGUAUUUUUUUUUAUGGAAAGUUUAAAUUUUUUGUACUAAUAUAAGUGAAAUCACAGAAUCUCAUGUACCAGUUGAUAUACUUUGACAUUGUCUUGUAAUCAUAAAUUUGAGUUGAGUUUUUGCAGUUUUUCGUUGUGAUCUUAAGUUAAUAUUAUUUUAAACGUGAACAUUAUUGAAUUGAGCAUCUGAUGUAGUAAUUUAUACAUGACACCAAAGGAUGUAAUGAACUAUUUUGCUAAAAGCUUAUGUUUUAGAGGUUUCUUGAGAGGUCAUCUUAUCUAGUCAAUUGUACAGGAGUGGAUCUGUUAUGCGACUUCAUGUUUCAUCCCAAUGUUUCCUUGAAUCUAUGAACCACACCUUCACUUUGGGUGCCAGCUAUACUCCCGUUUCACCCAAAGUCUGAGUAUCCUAAUUUUGUUGUUGGCGGCAGGUUGACAACCUUCUUUGGUAGUCACUGACUGUUUUCUCUUCACCAAAUUCUCCCUAUAAUUUAACAUCUAUAAAGAAUUUUUUUUUUUUUUAUUCUUGAUGAAUAUGCAUAAUUCCCUAGCAAUAGGAUUUUAAUGCAUUUCCUCAAGAAUGUUUAAAGAAUAUAUCGACAUGAAUUCCAAAUUGAGUGCCAUCAGUCGUGACACCGCCAUCGUUUUAUACUCCCCUUCUCGCCAUCAGCUUAAUCUUUUAGAUCUGCUCCACUACACAAAUCAAUUGGAGUUAUAUUCUCUCACCUUCGCAUCUAUUGAAGCAAAAUUUUAGUUCUGCCUAUUAUAAUCAGUAUAUUAGAAGUAUCUCAUUUAAUCAAAAGCACAAAUCAUCACAAAGCUCAUGAAUGAAUAGGUCUAAGUUUUUUAUUUAUGCUUUAUGAAGUAAAGUGAGUGGCAGGGAACCGAUAUGGAAACUGAAGUCCUACAUUGCAGAGGGCUUCGAAUUAUGCGCAAAUUCACAAUACUCAGUGGAAACAUGUUGUCAAUUUGAUCAAGUUGCUUCGAAUAUAUAAAGCGCAAAUAAAAGACUUAAACAUCAGAAUAUUUCCGAAAACUUUAUUGCGAAUCUCUUUUAAUUAGUAUCGUCUUACAAUUGAAUCUAUUUUUGUACAAAAAGAAAUCAAUCUCAACAAGUUCAUACGAAGCACACUAAAAUCCUGUAAAUGAGAAAUAUAUCGAACAAAUUUGACAAUGAUGAGGAAUAGAAAUUCUUAUUAUAUACAUGAUAUAAUGCUGAAUGCAAACAAUACUGUAUGUAAUCUAAUCAUAUUGUUGUUUUUGUAAGGAUUUUUAAAACAUAUGAGUGUGAAAUAAAAAAAAAUCAUACACAUCACAAA